Molecule: long non-coding RNA, 323 nt
Filed under: Sorghum bicolor (sorghum)
Lineage: Eukaryota; Viridiplantae; Streptophyta; Magnoliopsida; Poales; Poaceae
Description: long non-coding RNA (SBIC_LNC012162)
Source: RNAcentral
GGUGCAAGCUUGCUUCGAACUCGGAAACGCUGAACUUUCUUCAUUGGCGUGACCUUGAGGUACACAUAGUCACCUACUUUGAAUUCAAGUGGCCUUCUUCUCUUAUCAGCAUAACUCUUUUGUCGUGAUUGCGCUGCAUGCAUAUGCUGCUGUAUGAUUUGCACCUUCUUCUCGGCCUCAUUCACGAAGUCAAUACCGUAGUAUCUCCUUUCCCCAGGUUCAACCCAGUUUAACGGAGUUCUACACCUCCGACCAUACAGAGCUUCGAACGGGGCCAUCUUGAUGCUCUCUUGAUAACUGUUAUUGUAGGAGAAUUCAGCCAG